AGAAAGGCCAAGUUUAAUCUCGUCUUCCUUAAACUAUGGCAAGAUGCAUGCUCCUCUUGGCUUAUACCAGAACUGACAGUGGGAAGUAACUACUAAUGAGCAGCCUUUUCUGAAAAUGAUGAGUAGCCCUCUGUAAUCUACAGGACAUAGCAGUCAGCCUGGGCAGUGACCUGUUCAAAUUUAAGCUUUGGGAAUCUCCCAGGCUUUGGGAAUUUCCCAGAUGCCUCCCAGAUAGCAGGAAGUUUGUGACGUAUGAGAAAAACAUCUCGACAUGGCUCCUAAAGAGAUUGGCUGGAAAGGAAACUCUUCUUCAUCAUAGACGCUCUUGGCAGAUUUUUUACAGGACAAUAGAAGAGAAACACAAAGUGCAGAAGGAAGGAUGUAAACCAAGAGGAAGCAGGAAAAAAGGAUGGAGUAAGACAGAGAGGCAGAAAGAAGGACUAACUGCCACAAAGCAGAUGUGACUGUGGAAACAAACCCAUCAAAUGACAGAGGGAGAUACAUUGAGACAUCUCUGCGGAUGCAGAUUUGCUGCAAGAGCUGUUCACUCUGUAGUUCCACUCUUCUGACAGCAUCUUCUGCUGCACAGUGUUGUCCUCAUGUUCAAUGUUUCUUGUUCAAUGGACACCACAGGUGAAGGCAGGCAAUGGCAAAUGUGUAUGAGUUCAGUUAUUCAAGACACAAAAAUCUUGCACCAUGUUGUACCUUACAGUUCAAAUGAGUGAAGCACUAGGUGAAAAAUGAAAGCAGUCUCUUUCUUUCUUUCUGUUCCUGUCUUUUACAAUUGGAUGUUUUGGGUAACAAAGAACAGGAUGUAGUGCGGAAACCACCAUAACUUUUUGAGGUUAAAUCCCUGGCACCUACAAAAUCAAUAACAUUUAUUAGAAAUACAGGGUCUUGCGCAGGGCUUGUUUUUUGACCCAUUUCACUGGUUUGUUCCUUUUAUAUUAAAAGUGUAUCCAUCAAA
Strigops habroptila (Kakapo) is the source of this 967-nucleotide long non-coding RNA. RefSeq lists it as uncharacterized. The record is from RefSeq and is a predicted model, not a curated record. The transcript is spliced from 3 exons. Lineage: Eukaryota; Metazoa; Chordata; Aves; Psittaciformes; Psittacidae.